This 451-nucleotide ribosomal RNA is filed under the name uncultured bacterium. RNAcentral's name for it is "partial 16S ribosomal RNA". It matches the Rfam family "Bacterial small subunit ribosomal RNA", at positions 29 to 523 of the family's 1533-position model. The record is from RNAcentral.
AGCGAACGCUGGCGGCAGGCUUAACACAUGCAAGUCGAGCGGGCGUAGCAAUACGUCAGCGGCAGACGGGUGAGUAACACGUGGGAACGUACCUUUUGGUUCGGAACAACUGAGGGAAACUUCAGCUAAUACCGGAUAAGCCCUAACGGGGAAAGAUUUAUCGCCGAAAGAUCGGCCCGCGUCUGAUUAGCUAGUUGGUGAGGUAGUGGCUCACCAAGGCGACGAUCAGUAGCUGGUCUGAGAGGAUGAUCAGCCACACUGGGACUGAGACACGGACCAGACUCCUACGGGAGGCAGCAGUGGGGAAUAUUGGACAAUGGGGGCAACCCUGAUCCAGCCAUGCCGCGUGAGUGAUGAAGGCCCUAGGGUUGUAAAGCUCUUUUGUGCGGGAAGAUAAUGACGGUACCGCAAGAAUAAGCCCCGGCUAACUUCGUGCCAGCCGCCGCCGUAA